GUGGGGGUAGCUUAGUCAAUAAAGUGUUUGACUUGCAAGCAUGAGGACCUGAGUUCAAUCCUUAGUACUCACA
This 73-nucleotide transfer RNA is filed under the name Rattus norvegicus (Norway rat). It matches the Rfam family "tRNA". From Rfam's summary of the family: Transfer RNA (tRNA) molecules are approximately 80 nucleotides in length. Their secondary structure includes four short double-helical elements and three loops (D, anti-codon, and T loops). Further hydrogen bonds mediate the characteristic L-shaped molecular structure. tRNAs have two regions of fundamental functional importance: the anti-codon, which is responsible for specific mRNA codon recognition, and the 3' end, to which the tRNAs corresponding amino acid is attached (by aminoacyl-tRNA synthetases). tRNAs cope with the degeneracy of the genetic code in two manners: having more than one tRNA (with a specific anti-codon) for a particular amino acid; and 'wobble' base-pairing, i.e. permitting non-standard base-pairing at the 3rd anti-codon position. The record is from Rfam by way of RNAcentral. Lineage: Eukaryota; Metazoa; Chordata; Mammalia; Rodentia; Muridae.